This 442-nucleotide ribosomal RNA is filed under the name uncultured bacterium. Its description in RNAcentral is "partial 16S ribosomal RNA". It matches the Rfam family "Bacterial small subunit ribosomal RNA", at positions 338 to 795 of the family's 1533-position model. The record is from RNAcentral.
CCUACGGUGGGCAGCAGUGGGGAAUAUUGGGCAAUGGGCGCAAGCCUGACCCAGCAACGCCGCGUUAAGGAAGCAGGCUUUCGGGUUGUAAACUUCUUUUAAGAGGGAAGAGCAGAAGACGGUACCUCUUGAAUAAGCCACGGCUAACUACGUGCCAGCAGCCGCGGUAAUACGUAGGUCGCAAGCGUUCUCCGGAUUUACUGGGUGUAAAGGGCGUGCAGCCGGGAAGACAAGUCAGAUGUUAAAUCCCGCGGCUCAACCGCGGAACUGACUUUGAAACUGUUUUUCUUGAGUACCGGAGAGGUCAUCGGAAUGACUGGUGUAGCGGUGAAAUGCGUAGAUAUAAGGAAGAACACCAGUGGCGAAGGCGGAUGACUGGACGGCAACUGACGGUGAGGCGCGAAAGCGUGGGGAGCAAACAGGAUUAGAUACCCUUGUAGUC